Astatotilapia calliptera (eastern happy) is the source of this 1420-nucleotide long non-coding RNA. The record is from Ensembl. Lineage: Eukaryota; Metazoa; Chordata; Actinopteri; Cichliformes; Cichlidae.
UGACGCUUUCAAAGAGGCAUGUUGGCCAAGUUGGCUGGACCGAGAGCAGAGGCGGUACCAUAAUGUUACCUGCACCCAGCGGUUGAAUCCGCGUCACAAGCGCUACCAGGCAGCGCCAUCUAGUGGGCAGAGCUCAGCAUUGAUCCGUCUUUAAAGCCUUCUCCUCUCCAAAACUUGGAAGGAUGUCAAACUAAUUUUAAUAUUUUAGGAUUAAAAUUAGAUGAACUAUAGAUUUUCAGACUUUUUAUUUAUUACGUCCUCAAUGAAGUCAGAAUGGCUCCUAUUCUGUAGGACAUGAGCUUCUUUACUAUCGCCAGGCUCGAUAAACUAAAAAAGUACGAAGUUGUGGUUUUAAUGACGCGUACGCGUGUGGUUUAAUUGUGAAAAGAUAAAUAUUUAAAAGCCCGUUUGUGUGCUGACUUUAAUGUAAACUGGUGUGCCUGUCCCCCAUUCAUUUACUUCAUUCAUUCACAAUUUUGCAUGAUGUUUAGGAUUUGUUUCAACUUCAUGAGAUUAUAAUCUAUGGCGUCUAACUUUAAGCCCAGGUAUGCAGUGUUUCAAAAAGAAAAAGAAAAAAAAAAAGCAGUUGAUCGCCAUGGUGCCUUGUGCUGCAGAGCUAACCCUAGUACAGAUUAUCAGUGUGUCAGUGCGCCCCAGGGUGGCUGUGGCUACAAUGUAGCUUGCCAUCACCAGUGUGUGAAUGUGUGUGUGAAUGACUGGAUAUGUAAAGCGCUUUGGGGUCCUUAGGGACUAGAAAAGCGCUAUAUAAAUACAGGCCAUUUACCAGGCCAGAUUAUGUUUAAAGUAUGAAAUUCCCACCAGUUGCCUAAAAAAAAAAAAAAAUAAAAAUAAAAAAUAAAAAAUAAAUGGCCCUCAGUGCGCUCAAGUCUUUGCAUUUCUGCAUUACUGAACGUCAUUACUAAAGCCUGAUUCUUAGACCUGAGAAUAAAAUGUGCUUGUAAACGUUUAUAUCAGAGCAGUCCAAUUCAGGCUUUAUAUUCAAGCCUUUCACCCCCUUAAACACCAACAGGGCUGCAAACAGAACAUGUAUGGUAAUCCACCAGAUUCUCCAGUUUCUGAAUGACAGAUACUCUUUACCUACAGUCAGCAUUUAUCUUGCAGGCUUUCCUUUGUGAGUUCAAAUAGGUUGAACCAUUUUCCCCCAGAGCAGACCUUUUUCCAAACUGAGCAAAGCACGCACACACACACACGGUUGCGUCCCCCCCUUGUCCACUGCUCCCGUAAUACUUUGCACUGUGUAAUCAGUGUCAACUUAUCCAUGUUUGUGAUUGGUCAGAAGUCACCAAUGUCCCCUCUUUCAUAUGAACUCGCUCAGACGCAGAUUGAGAAACCCCAUGUUGAUUUAUCUAGUGAAUGGCCACCUUCAUGUGACUGUGCCUGCACUAUAAAUGCAGGUCUU